This 380-nucleotide ribosomal RNA is filed under the name uncultured eukaryote. RNAcentral describes it as "partial 18S ribosomal RNA". It matches the Rfam family "Eukaryotic small subunit ribosomal RNA", at positions 592 to 976 of the family's 1831-position model. The record is from RNAcentral.
CAAUAGCGUAUAUUAAAGUUGUUGCGGUUAAAAAGCUCGUAGUUGGAUUUCUGCUGAGAACGACCGGUCCGCCCUUUGGGUGUGUAUCUGGCUCUUUCUUGGCAUCUUCUUGGUGAACGUUGCUGCACUUGACUGUGUGGAGCGCUACCCAGGACUUUUACUUUGAGGAAAUUAGAGUGUUUCAAGCAGGCAUACGCCUUGAAUACAUUAGCAUGGAAUAAUAAGAUAGGACCUCGGUUCUAUUUUGUUGGCUUCUAGAGCUGAGGUAAUGAUUAAUAGGGAUAGUUGGGGGCAUUCGUAUUUAACUGUCAGAGGUGAAAUUCUUGGACUUGUUAAAGACGGACUACUGCGAAAGCAUUUGCCAAGGAUGUUUUCAUUGA